GACGAACGCUGGCGGCGUGCUUAACACAUGCAAGUCGAACGGAAAGGCCCUGCUUUUGUGGGGUGCUCGAGUGGCGAACGGGUGAGUAACACGUGAGUAACCUGCCCUUGACUUUGGGAUAACUUCAGGAAACUGGGGCUGAUACCGGAUAGGAGCUCCUGCUGCAUGGUGGGGGUUGGAAAGUUUCGGCGGUUGGGGAUGGACUCGCGGCUUAUCAGCUUGUUGGUGGGGUAGUGGCUUACCAAGGCUUUGACGGGUAGCCGGCCUGAGAGGGUGACCGGCCACAUUGGGACUGAGAUACGGCACAGACUCCUACGGGAGGCAGCAGUGGGGAAUAUUGCACAAUGGGCGGAAGCCUGAUGCAGCAACGCCGCGUGCGGGAUGACGGCCUUCGGGUUGUAAACCGCUUUCGCCUGUGACGAAGCGUGAGUGACGGUAAUGGGUAAAGAAGCACCGGCUAACUACGUG
RNAcentral lists this ribosomal RNA (468 nucleotides) under uncultured bacterium. RNAcentral's name for it is "partial 16S ribosomal RNA". It matches the Rfam family "Bacterial small subunit ribosomal RNA", at positions 28 to 507 of the family's 1533-position model. The record is from RNAcentral.